RNAcentral lists this unclassified non-coding RNA (2156 nucleotides) under Leishmania donovani. Its description in RNAcentral is "gene:unknown". Lineage: Eukaryota; Euglenozoa; Kinetoplastea; Trypanosomatida; Trypanosomatidae. The record is from RNAcentral.
CUUCCGUUGAGUUACUGUCGCUCUAUCGUACUGCCUGCGUGGGGGCUGCGCUGGAUGGCAGGCUAGUCGCCCUUCCGCUCCUUCUCCUUCGUACGGCACCUGAUUCUUUUUAUACCGCGUCGCUGUGCUCAAGCUCCCCCUCCCGAGUCGCUUCAAGCCGCGGCAGGUCAUCAUAUGGUGUGGAGACUCUCCACACCAAAGUCUGGAGGACUCGAUGGUGUAGCUCGGGGUGCUCUCGUCAUGCAUGCGGCAUCUCUGCCGCAUCAGCCCACCCGGUCGGGCGUAGGAGGCGCCGGACGCGCCGCGCACAUGCAUGCACGUUGGGGGUGAUCGGUAUGGAUUACCUCGCGCCUUCUUCGCCCAUCACUGUUGCUCUUCCGACCUCUGGAUGCCCCGCGCGGAUGCGAUACGCCGUGCCAGCUGUACUUGACAGCGCGUGCGCACAGUGCACGCAUUCCUGCAUCCUGGGACCUUGUUCAGGACGAGGUGGCUGCCUGGGGAGGGGACUCGCUGUCUUCCCUUUCCAUUCCAGUCGAUGCCAUUGAGGGUGGCGUCUCUGGGUGGCUUGCCCACAGUCAGCCCGGGAGUGAUAUGCUGGGGCGCACACGGCAACUGCGCAUGAGUAAAAUGUGUGUGCGUGUGGGGCUCCGAAGAGGUUGAUUCCUGCUUGCCGGUGUGAGAGCCGCGAAAGUGCUGAGACACGGCUGCCAUCCCGCGUUCGCACCCCCUGCACCAAAUGUGCAGGGCCGCACUCCGCGUGAGUGCGGAGCGUUGCACACGGCUGCGGUGCCGCGUAGCAAAGAGUGCGCUCCUCGCCUUGAGGGGGCGCUCAGCUCCACAAAAUGCACCAGUGCCCAGGGCCCCACCCUCCAGAGGGCGGAUUGCCGUGUGGCCUGUAUGGCAACCUUGUCUGCGAAGGGCGUUAGGAGUGCGAGGCCAUCAGCAAAGGAGGCGUGGUGUAGUGUGGGUCUCCUGUGGAGCACCACACUCAGCGAGCCCAUCACAAUGAAGAGGGUCCACGGCUGAUCCUUGUGGGGCUCCGCAUGUAAGCCCGGCCAUCCUCGAUCGCCGCGUGCGGAAGCCAUCCCCGGCCCGAAGGAGCCGCUUUUGACCACGCAAUGAAGGGCUGCCGCUCCUGGCAACAUGGCCUGGGCCCUUGCUGAACAUUCUCGUCCUCCAAACCUUUACAAUCAACCCGCACACCGCAGGCGCGUGCACAAUGCACAUCCUCGCCUCCGUCCUCCCGGCGAUCUGCGGCGUCGCAUUCAACGGGCGCGACAUGACGCCGCCAGAGGCCCGCGACACUUCGUUGGCCUCGAAGAGGGCCUUCGACUGCCUCCUCUCUCAGGCGCGGCUCUCGCACGGGCUCAAACUCUGCAGCCCACGUUCCCGGGACGAGUGGGCGAUGGGCCCCGUGGCCUUGAUGUGUUUAACCGCGAGCAGGUGCAUGAGACGGGGGGCGCUGUGCGAAGAGAGCACGCACUCGCAGAACAGCAGGAAGACGGGGUGACGCUACGGGCACGCGAUGGGGGCACGGCCCCACCGACAGGGUAGGCUCAGCAGAGCACCGAGCGGUGCGCUGCACGUGUGAGGCGCCUUUUCUUGACUGCUAGAGCUGCGGCUCCCCUUCAUUUGGAUGGCGCCUCUGUCAUCGCUGCUGCCCUCACGGGCUGCCUCCGCACAGUCAUGCAGUCAACGCGGAGCCACAUCACUCCGUGACUCACCUGUCAUGUGUGAUCCACGGCCCGUUGCAUAAAAUCCGGCGAAAACCCCGCUUACAGGCCGAGCCGUUAUCCUUCAUGGCAAAGGCGAAGGCGCGCAACUGAUGACGCGGAGAGGGAGUUGAGACCGGAAGCCGAAAGGGCGGGUGGGCCCGCGCACUCUCGUCCGUAUACUGGCUCAUGCGGUACACGCGUGUCGGUGCUCUUGUGAAAGGGCGGCGAAAAAAAUACGCACUCUAUAACUGCCCGUGUGGCCCUCUCGGUGUGUAGGCGGCUCGACCGCGCACACACACACACACACAACGCCUCCCACAAGCCGGAUCGACUGAGACCAAUGUGCCGACUCGCUCCAUGACCUCCGCGGAGCCCGCCCCCCUACCCCUCUCUCGCACACAUCCCCCAUUCUCCCUCCCUCUCUUCCUCACGCUGGCGAAG